RNAcentral lists this ribosomal RNA (497 nucleotides) under uncultured bacterium. Its description in RNAcentral is "partial 16S ribosomal RNA". It matches the Rfam family "Bacterial small subunit ribosomal RNA", at positions 28 to 507 of the family's 1533-position model. The record is from RNAcentral.
GAUGAACGCUGGCGGCGUGCCUAAUACAUGCAAGUCGAGCGAACGGACGAGAAGCUUGCUUCUCUGAUGUUAGCGGCGGACGGGUGAGUAACACGUGGAUAACCUACCUAUAAGACUGGGAUAACUUCGGGAAACCGGAGCUAAUACCGGAUAAUAUUUUGAACCGCAUGGUUCAAAAGUUAAAGACGGUCUUUCUGUCACUUAUAGAUGGAUCCGCGCUGCAUUAGCUAGUUGGUAAGGUAACGGCUUACCAAGGCAACGAUGCAUAGCCGACCUGAGAGGGUGAUCGGACACACUGGAACUGAGACACGGUCCAGACUCCUACGGGAGGCAGCAGUAGGGAAUCUUCCGCAAUGGGCGAAAGCCUGACGGAGCAACGCCGCGUGAGUGAUGAAGGUCUUCGGAUCGUAAAACUCUGUUAUUAGGGAAGAACAUAUGUGUAAGUAACUGUGCACAUCUUGACGGUACCUAAUCAGAAAGCCACGGCUAACUACGUG